GGAAAAUGAUUGUCGGAACGAUGC
Molecule: non-coding RNA, 24 nt
Filed under: Arabidopsis thaliana (thale cress)
Lineage: Eukaryota; Viridiplantae; Streptophyta; Magnoliopsida; Brassicales; Brassicaceae
Source: RNAcentral